AAGGACUGUGCUCCCAAUCCGCUUACGCUCAAGGAAGAACUGGAAGGCCCAGAACCAGCCUGCUGUCAGGAUCAGAACAAAAGAGGAGGACUGCAUAUGUAUGGACCCACUCCAGAUGGCAUGGGGACGGGGGGAGUAGGAAAAGUGGCAUGAGACCAGGCCCACAGAGUAUGGCUGUGCAAGUUGUUCACUCUACAAGGGCACCUGGCCGCUCUCUCAUUCCUGUUGAGGGCUCUCUGGUGGAGCCUCUGUCUCACAGGUCACCUGCAGGCCAACACUCCCAGAAGCAGCUAGCACCAUGGUUGACCUCGUCCAGGUCCAGGGAAGGCCUCCCUCUCCAGGACUCCUUUAGAUUUCCCCAGCAUCCAGACCUCACCUGCCUAAGUGCUGUUGCCCUGGAAGCCACACAGUGAGCACGAGCUCCAUCUUGCCCCUUUACCAGCCAAUGGGGGUAAAGACAUUAGCUGAAAUGCUUCUAAGGGGCCAGGCGUGGUGACUCACGCUUGUAAUUCCAAGCACUUUGGGAGGCUGAGGCAGGUGGAUCACCUGAAGCCAGGAGUUCAAGAGCAGCCUGGCCAACAUGGCGAAACCCUGUCUCUACUAAAAAUACAAAAUUUAGCCAGGCAUGGUGGCGGGAGCCUGUAAUCUCAGCUCCUAGGGAGGCUGAGCCAGAAGAAUCACUUAAACCCGGAAGCUGGAGGUUGCAGUGAGCCAAGAUCACACCACCACACUCCAGCCUGGGUGACAGAACAAGACUCCAU
RNAcentral lists this non-coding RNA (761 nucleotides) under Pan troglodytes (chimpanzee). The record is from RNAcentral. Lineage: Eukaryota; Metazoa; Chordata; Mammalia; Primates; Hominidae.